RNAcentral lists this ribosomal RNA (494 nucleotides) under uncultured bacterium. RNAcentral describes it as "partial 16S ribosomal RNA". It matches the Rfam family "Bacterial small subunit ribosomal RNA", at positions 28 to 507 of the family's 1533-position model. The record is from RNAcentral.
GACGAACGCUGGCGGCGUGCUUAACACAUGCAAGUCGAACGGUGAAGCGCCUUCCUUUUUGGUGGGUGUGGAUGAGUGGCGAACGGGUGAGUAACACGAGAGUAACCUGCUCCCUUCUUCUGGAUAACCGCAUGAAAGUGUGGCUAAUACGGGAUAUUCUGGGUCUGUCGCAUGAUGGGUCUGGGAAAGAUAUUGUUUCGGUGGGGGAUGGGCUCGCGGCCUAUCAGCUUGUUGGUGGGGUGAUGGCCUACCAAGGCGGUGACGGGUAGCCGGCCUGAGAGGGUGGACGGUCACACUGGGACUGAGACACGGCCCAGACUCCUACGGGAGGCAGCAGUGGGGAAUAGUGCACAAUGGGCGCAAGCCUGAUGCAGCGACGCCGCGUGAGGGAUGGAGGCCUUCGGGUUGUGAACCUCUUUCGCCAGUGAAGCAGGCCUGCCUCGUUUGUGGGUGGGUUGACGGUAGCUGGAUAAGAAGCGCCGGCUAACUAUGUG